This 481-nucleotide ribosomal RNA is filed under the name uncultured bacterium. RNAcentral's name for it is "partial 16S ribosomal RNA". It matches the Rfam family "Bacterial small subunit ribosomal RNA", at positions 28 to 523 of the family's 1533-position model. The record is from RNAcentral.
GACGAACGCUGGCGGCGUGCUUAACACAUGCAAGUCGAACGGUAAGGCUCCAGCUUGCUGGGGUACACGAGUGGCGAACGGGUGAGUAACACGUGGGUGACCUGCCCUGCACUUCGGGAUAAGCCUGGGAAACUGGGUCUAAUACCGGAUAGGACCGCACCGUGAGGGUGUGGUGGAAAGUUUUUUCGGUGUGGGAUGGGCCCGCGGCCUAUCGGCUUGUUGGUGGGGUAAUGGCCUACCAAGGCGGCGACGGGUAGCCGGCCUGAGAGGGUGGGCGGCCACAUUGGGAAUGAGACACGGGCCAGACUCCUACGGGAGGCAGCAGUGGGGAAUAUUGCACAAUGGGCGGAAGCCUGAUGCAGCGACGCCGCGUGGGGGAUGACGGCCUUCGGGUUGUAAACUCCUUUCACCAUCGACGAAGGGUUUCUGACGGUAGAUGGAGAAGAAGCACCGGCUAACUACGUGCCAGCCGCCGCAGUAA